Molecule: unclassified non-coding RNA, 334 nt
Filed under: soil metagenome
Description: partial contains 5.8S ribosomal RNA, internal transcribed spacer 2, and large subunit ribosomal RNA
Rfam family: 5.8S ribosomal RNA (bases 1-120)
Source: RNAcentral
GAUGAAGAACGCAGCGAAAUGCGAUAAGUAGUGUGAAUUGCAGAAUUCAGUGAAUCAUCGAAUCUUUGAACGCACAUUGCGCCCCUUGGUAUUCCAUGGGGCAUGCCUGUUCGAGCGUCAUUUGUACCUUCAAGCUUUGCUUGGUGUUGGGUGUUUGUCCAUUCUCUUGCAGAGGGACUCGCCUUAAAGUAAUUGGCAGCCAGUGUUUUGGUUUUGAAGCGCAGCACAAGUCGCGAUUCAAAGCUAUACGCCCGCUUCCGCAAGCCUUUUUCACUUUUGACCUCGGAUCAGGUAGGGAUACCCGCUGAACUUAAGCAUAUCAAUAAGCGGAGGA